This 1066-nucleotide ribosomal RNA is filed under the name Oenococcus oeni. RNAcentral's name for it is "bacterial LSU rRNA". It matches the Rfam family "Bacterial large subunit ribosomal RNA", at positions 1843 to 2909 of the family's 2925-position model. Lineage: Bacteria; Bacillati; Bacillota; Bacilli; Lactobacillales; Lactobacillaceae. The record is from RNAcentral.
GUAUAGGGGCUGACGCCUGCCCAGUGCUGGAAGGUUAAAAGGAGGACUUAGCUUCGGCGAAGGUCUUAAUUGAAGCCCCAGUGAACGGCGGCCGUAACUAUAACGGUCCUAAGGUAGCGAAAUUCCUUGUCGGGUAAGUUCCGACCCGCAUGAAAGGCGUAAUGAUUUGGGCGCUGUCUCAACAAUAGACUCGGUGAAAUUUAAAUUCCAGUGAAGAUGCUGGGUACCCGCGACAGGACGGAAAGACCCCGUGGAGCUUUACUGUAGCUUGAUAUUGAAUGUUUGUGCUGCAUGUGCAGGAUAGGUAGGAGACUUUGAAGUCGGAACGCUAGUUUCGAUUGAGUCACCCUUGAGAUACUACCCCUGUUGUAUGAACGUUCUAACUCUGAUCAGUUAUCCUGAUCGAAGACAGUGUCUGGCAGGCAGUUUGACUGGGGCGGUCGCCUCCUAAAAGAUAACGGAGGCGCUCAAAGGUUUGCUCAGAAUGGUUGGAAAUCAUUCGUAGCGUGUAAAGGCAUAAGCAAGCUUGACUGUGAGACUGACAAGUCGAGCAGGUACGAAAGUAGGACUUAGUGAUCCGGUGGUUCCGUAUGGAAGGGCCAUCGCUCAACGGACAAAAGCUACCCCGGGGAUAACAGGCUCAUCUCCCCCAAGAGUCCACAUCGACGGGGAGGUUUGGCACCUCGAUGUCGGCUCAUCGCAUCCUGGGGCUGUAGUCGGUCCCAAGGGUUGGGCUGUUCGCCCAUUAAAGCGGUACGCGAGCUGGGUUCAGAACGUCGUGAGACAGUUCGGUCCCUAUCCGUCGUGGGCGCAGGAAAUUUGAGAGGAUCUGUCCUUAGUACGAGAGGACCGGGAUGGACAUACCUCUGGUGUACCAGUUGUUCUGCCAAGAGCACCGCUGGGUAGCUACGUAUGGAUUAGAUAAUCGCUGAAAGCAUCUAAGUGAGAAACUAACCUCGAGAUGAGAUUUCCCAUUCGUCAGAAGUAAGACCCCUGAGAGACGAUCAGGUAGAUAGGCUAGAAGUGGAAGUGUAGUGAUGCAUGGAGCGGACUAGUACUAAUAGGU